CUGAAGACAAGGAUACUGUUGCAGCAUUGGAAGCCCGGCUCAAGAAGCAAGCUCAAAAAGCUGGAGGAGGAUUAUGCUGCUCGACUGAAGAAGCAA
Molecule: non-coding RNA, 96 nt
Filed under: Extubocellulus spinifer
Lineage: Eukaryota; Bacillariophyta; Thalassiosirophyceae; Cymatosirales; Cymatosiraceae
Source: RNAcentral